RNAcentral lists this ribosomal RNA (447 nucleotides) under uncultured bacterium. RNAcentral describes it as "partial 16S ribosomal RNA". It matches the Rfam family "Bacterial small subunit ribosomal RNA", at positions 29 to 523 of the family's 1533-position model. The record is from RNAcentral.
AGCGAACGCUGGCGGCAGGCUUAACACAUGCAAGUCGAACGCCCCGCAAGGGGAGUGGCAGACGGGUGAGUAACGCGUGGGAACGUACCCUUUGGUUCGGAAUAACUUGGGGAAACUCAAGCUAAUACCGGAUAAGCCCUUAUGGGGAAAGGUUUACUGCCGAAGGAUCGGCCCGCGUCUGAUUAGCUAGUUGGUGAGGUAAUGGCUCACCAAGGCGACGAUCAGUAGCUGGUCUGGGAGGAUGAUCAGCCACACUGGGACUGAGACACGGCCCAGACUCCUACGGGAGGCAGCAGUGGGGAAUAUUGGACAAUGGGGGCAACCCUGAUCCAGCCAUGCCGCGUGAGUGAUGAAGGCCUUAGGGUUGUAAAGCUCUUUUACCCGGGACGAUAAUGACUGUACCGGGAGAAUAAGCCCCGGCUAACUUCGUGCCAGCCGCCGCAGUAA